UCUUGCUGGCUGAAAUGGGGACUAGUGGAUCACUUGAUGGGCAGCAAAGAUUGGUCAUCAAGGGAAGAUUUGCUCCAAAGAAUUUUGAAGGAAUCCUCCGGCGAUACGUGAGUAAGUUCCUGUUGUCAAUCUGUGAUCUAUAUGCAGCUAUUCAGAAACGUUUUUCUUCUUUACAUUUUUCUUAUUAGUAAGUUCCUGUUGCAAAUUUGUGAUCUAUAUGCAGCUAUUCAGAAACGACUUUCUUCCUUGUAUUUUUCUUAUUAAUGGUGCUAUAUUAUGCCCUUCUGCAUCCUAUGAACUAUAAUAUAACAGCCUUCGCUCAGCG
Molecule: long non-coding RNA, 325 nt
Filed under: Nicotiana benthamiana
Lineage: Eukaryota; Viridiplantae; Streptophyta; Magnoliopsida; Solanales; Solanaceae
Description: long non-coding RNA (NBEN_LNC041799)
Source: RNAcentral